This is a long non-coding RNA of Bufo bufo (common toad), 272 nucleotides long. RefSeq lists it as uncharacterized. The transcript has 3 exons. The record is from RefSeq and is a predicted model, not a curated record. NCBI's taxonomy places the organism in Eukaryota, Metazoa, Chordata, Amphibia, Anura, Bufonidae.
AUCACACGUGCUAGGAGCGACUGUAUUCUAGUCACUGCCUGAGAGGUUCCUACAAUAUAGGAUCCGCUCAGCGUAUAUCUCCUAUAUAAGAUUAUUCUCCUGAUUGACCCAUCAAGGAUGGAUAGAGAUGGGGACAAGAUGGCAGAGAGUAUAAUAAAUCUCACCCUAGAGAUCCUCCUCCGGCUUACUGGAGAGGAAUACACAGUAGUGAAGAAGACCUCUAGUGAGCGCUGUCAGGCCCCGGUAUCUGAAGGACGGGGAGGAAUCCUGAG